UAGUCAAUCUACCCUAUGGACGGGAAUAACCUCGGGAAACUGAGAAUAAUGCCCGAUAGAACAUUAUGCCUGGAAUGGUUUAUGUNNNAAAUAAUUUAUCGCCAUAGGAUGGGACUGCGGCCUAUCAGUUUGUUGGUGAGGUAAUGGCCCACCAAGACUAUUACAGGUACGGGCUCUGAGAGGGGUGGCCCGGAGAUGGGUACUGAGACACGGACCCNGGCCCUAUGGGGCGCAGCAGGCGAGAAAACUUUGCAAUGUGCGAAAGCACGACAAGGUUAAUCCGAGUGGUUUCUGCUAAANNAACCUUUUGUCAGUCCUAGAAACACUAACGAGUAAGGGGUGGGCAANUUCUGGUGU
RNAcentral lists this ribosomal RNA (357 nucleotides) under uncultured archaeon. Its description in RNAcentral is "bacterial SSU rRNA". It matches the Rfam family "Archaeal small subunit ribosomal RNA", at positions 101 to 458 of the family's 1478-position model. The record is from RNAcentral.